UUUGAAAACGAAUUUUAUUUUUUUUUGAAUGUGUUAUUUAUUUUAUUUUUUAAUUGCUAGGUGCUGUUUGAAGAUCCCGACUUUCCUUUCCGUGACUCGGACGAUGAUUUAAUAGAUGAAGUUGAUCAAAUCUUUAUGGAAAAUCCUAUGGUUCUGCCCCUGUAUUACCAUGUGGGUUCCGGAUUUGAGACUUCUUCAUCAUCAGCUCGGGGUCCUAUGUAUAUGGCCGGUUCCGACGAACAUUCGAUCGAUGAGGCGAUUGUGCUGACAGAAAAAUCUCGUCGUAGGAACCAUAAGUACAAGGCCGAGGAGAUUACCUUCCGAGCCAGUAUAGA
Stegodyphus dumicola is the source of this 335-nucleotide long non-coding RNA. NCBI's taxonomy places the organism in Eukaryota, Metazoa, Arthropoda, Arachnida, Araneae, Eresidae. The record is from RefSeq and is a predicted model, not a curated record.